Molecule: ribosomal RNA, 1476 nt
Filed under: Leuconostoc mesenteroides
Lineage: Bacteria; Bacillati; Bacillota; Bacilli; Lactobacillales; Lactobacillaceae
Description: bacterial SSU rRNA
Rfam family: Bacterial small subunit ribosomal RNA
Source: RNAcentral
ACGCUGGCGGCGUGCCUAAUACAUGCAAGUCGAACGCACAGCGAAAGGUGCUUGCACCUUUCAAGUGAGUGGCGAACGGGUGAGUAACACGUGGACAACCUGCCUCAAGGCUGGGGAUAACAUUUGGAAACAGAUGCUAAUACCGAAUAAAACUUAGUGUCGCAUGACACAAAGUUAAAAGGCGCUUCGGCGUCACCUAGAGAUGGAUCCGCGGUGCAUUAGUUAGUUGGUGGGGUAAAGGCCUACCAAGACAAUGAUGCAUAGCCGAGUUGAGAGACUGAUCGGCCACAUUGGGACUGAGACACGGCCCAAACUCCUACGGGAGGCUGCAGUAGGGAAUCUUCCACAAUGGGCGAAAGCCUGAUGGAGCAACGCCGCGUGUGUGAUGAAGGCUUUCGGGUCGUAAAGCACUGUUGUAUGGGAAGAACAGCUAGAAUAGGAAAUGAUUUUAGUUUGACGGUACCAUACCAGAAAGGGACGGCUAAAUACGUGCCAGCAGCCGCGGUAAUACGUAUGUCCCGAGCGUUAUCCGGAUUUAUUGGGCGUAAAGCGAGCGCAGACGGUUUAUUAAGUCUGAUGUGAAAGCCCGGAGCUCAACUCCGGAAUGGCAUUGGAAACUGGUUAACUUUGAGUGCAGUAGAGGUAAGUGGAACUCCAUGUGUAGCGGUGGAAUGCGUAGAUAUAUGGAAGAACACCAGUGGCGAAGGCGGCUUACUGGACUGCAACUGACGUUGAGGCUCGAAAGUGUGGGGUAGCAAACAGGAUUAGAUACCCUGGUAGUCCACACCGUAAACGAUGAACACUAGGUGUUAGGAGGUUUCCGCCUCUUAGUGCCGAAGCUAACGCAUUAAGUGUUCCGCCUGGGGAGUACGACCGCAAGGUUGAAACUCAAAGGAAUUGACGGGGACCCGCACAAGCGGUGGAGCAUGUGGUUUAAUUCGAAGCAACGCGAAGAACCUUACCAGGUCUUGACAUCCUUUGAAGCUUUUAGAGAUAGAAGUGUUCUCUUCGGAGACAAAGUGACAGGUGGUGCAUGGUCGUCGUCAGCUCGUGUCGUGAGAUGUUGGGUUAAGUCCCGCAACGAGCGCAACCCUUAUUGUUAGUUGCCAGCAUUCAGAUGGGCACUCUAGCGAGACUGCCGGUGACAAACCGGAGGAAGGCGGGGACGACGUCAGAUCAUCAUGCCCCUUAUGACCUGGGCUACACACGUGCUACAAUGGCGUAUACAACGAGUUGCCAACCCGCGAGGGUGAGCUAAUCUCUUAAAGUACGUCUCAGUUCGGAUUGUAGUCUGCAACUCGACUACAUGAAGUCGGAAUCGCUAGUAAUCGCGGAUCAGCACGCCGCGGUGAAUACGUUCCCGGGUCUUGUACACACCGCCCGUCACACCAUGGGAGUUUGUAAUGCCCAAAGCCGGUGGCCUAACCUUUUAGGAAGGAGCCGUCUAAGGCAGGACAGAUGACUGGGGUGAAGUCG